UAAUUUUUAUACUGUAACUUGUGUAACGUUUAUUGUAUAACUUUUGUAAAUGAACCUUUACGGUGUAACUUUACAAUAUAACCUUUAUAGUAUUACUUUUGCAAGAUAACCUUCAUAGCAUAACGUUUGUAAGAUCAUUUUUGUGUAUGUAUACGUAUUUUGCGUACACGUUUAGGGGAGAGUAUAGCAAAGUGCCCUACGUAAGGAAGUGUUCAAGAUGCAUUCCUUAAUCAUCUUUGUUAAUCCUUUAACAAAGACAUCAUUGAUAUGGUGAUGUUUUCUGUAAGGAGAUGUCCACUUAAAAAGUCUCCAGUUUCUCUGGAAGCUCUGUGAUUUGAAUUCAACCUUCUGGUCACUAGCACUGGAUCUUAACCGCUGAACACCCACUGACAUCUACAGUAUAUCUAAAUGCUAUUUUAACCAUAAAACCAAUUAUUCCUUAAAUACAGCUUGCUUUGAGCUGUGCUAAAUCCGGCCUGCUGAGGAAAAUCAUGUCCCCGUGUGCCUGGCUUUUUGGAAGCACAGAUUGAGUCGAAAGCAUCAGGUCCAGGUGCCAGAGUUAUUUCUCAAAUCUUCAAACAUGUUGAGUCAUCGACGGAGGAACAGUGUGUUAUUCCGCCACGUCACGUUUUUAACACGGCGGAAGGGGAAUGAGCUUCACAGAAGAGCGCUUCUCCAGGACAUUACUGUUAUUCAGUGCUUCAUUUCGCAAGACAGUACUAAAGAGGUUCUGAUAAAGUACAGUGUUUACUAUUAAAUGAAUCAUACUGUCGAAUGAUGAGUCAAAGCUAAUGAAUCACAGAUGAACAGGAAAUGUGCAAAAGUGUGAAGUUUGUACUUCAAUUUGUAUAUAUUUAUGCAACUCCAUGUUUGGACUAUGGUCUGGUACAUUUUAUUGUGUAACUGUUUAUAAGACUUUGUUUCCUGGUCUCUUCACAAGUCGAGAGAAAAUGAGUCACGAGCAAAAACGCAUUUGGGGGAAAAUUGACAUUUUUACAACAUAAAAUAGCAGCUCAUUCCCAAUGAACUCGCAGACCAUACACCGAUGUUCGUAUAAAUUACUGAAUGAAUGAAGCUUUUUCAAUUGAAAGGGUUUUUAUCAGUUAUUCUUGGUCAGUUGA
Long non-coding RNA from Ictalurus punctatus (channel catfish), 1121 nucleotides. NCBI's taxonomy places the organism in Eukaryota, Metazoa, Chordata, Actinopteri, Siluriformes, Ictaluridae. The record is from Ensembl.